UGGGGAAUUUUGGACAAUGGACGCCCUUCUGAUCCAGCCAUGCCGCGUGCGGGAAGAAGGCCUUCGGGUUGUAAACCGCUUUUGUCAGGGAAGAAACGCUCUGGGUUAAUACCUCGGGGUAAUGACGGUACCUGAAGAAUAAGCACCGGCUAACUACGUGCCAGCAGCCGCGGUAAUACGUAGGGUGCAAGCGUUAAUCGGAAUUACUGGGCGUAAAGCGUGCGCAGGCGGUUAUGCAAGACAGAUGUGAAAUCCCCGGGCUCAACCUGGGAACUGCAUUUGUGACUGCAUGGCUAGAGUACGGUAGAGGGGGAUGGAAUUCCGCGUGUAGCAGUGAAAUGCGUAGAUAUGCGGAGGAACACCGAUGGCGAAGGCAAUCCCCUGGACCUGUACUGACGCUCAUGCACGAAAGCGUGGGGAGCAAACAGGAUUAGAUACCCUGGUAGUCCACGCCCUAAACGAUGUCAACUGGUUGUUGGGAGGGUUUCUUCUCAGUAACGUAGCUAACGCGUGAAGUUGACCGCCUGGGGAGUACGGCCGCAAGGUUG
RNAcentral lists this ribosomal RNA (548 nucleotides) under uncultured bacterium. RNAcentral describes it as "bacterial SSU rRNA". It matches the Rfam family "Bacterial small subunit ribosomal RNA", at positions 355 to 896 of the family's 1533-position model. The record is from RNAcentral.